AAGGAUCAUUAAAGAGUGAGGGUCCUCUGUCGGCCCAACCUCCCAACCCUCUGUGUACCUACCUCUGUUGCUUCGGCGGGAUGCUGAGGUGUUAACCCACCUUGGCCGCUGGCUCUCAGCCGGCGCGCGCCCGCCAGAGGCCCUACCAAACUCUGUUUAUCAGUGUCGUCUGAGUUAAUACACAAAUCGUUAAAACUUUCAACAACGGAUCUCUUGGUUCUGGCAUCGAUGAAGAACGCAGCGAAAUGCGAUAAGUAAUGUGAAUUGCAGAAUUCAGUGAAUCAUCGAAUCUUUGAACGCACAUUGCGCCCCUUGGCAUUCCGAGGGGCAUGCCUGUUCGAGCGUCAUUUCACCACUCAAGCUCUGCUUGGUAUUGGGCCCUCGUCCGACCGGACGUGCCUGAAAACCAGUGGCGGGACCGCCCGACUUCAAGCGCAGUAAUUUCUUCUCGCUUUGGAAGGACGGGUCGAGUCGCCAGCCAGAUAAACCCCUUUAUCUUUUUAUGGUUGACCUCGGAUCAGGUAGGGAUACCCGCUGAACUUAA
This 544-nucleotide ribosomal RNA is filed under the name Atrozythia lignicola. RNAcentral's name for it is "eukaryotic LSU rRNA". The stretch from base 194 to 347 matches the Rfam family "5.8S ribosomal RNA". The record is from RNAcentral. Lineage: Eukaryota; Fungi; Ascomycota; Sareomycetes; Sareales; Zythiaceae.